AUUAAAAUUAGCACCAGUAUUUAAUUGUCUGUUAGAUGUUAAUUUUCAUUAAGCUUAAGGUUCUACGGAAAAAGGCGAAAUUCGCCCCUAAAGGCUUCAAUGUCUGAAUGAAAAAAGGCACUAUGGUAAAGAGGUAGUUGAAAAAUGGGAGGGAGCUGGCCUCUACAAGUUGUUGAUUGAGAUAGAUUAGCGUAUUGACUUUCGAUUGAUAUACCUCAUUAAGCAUAUGGUUUUACGGAAAAUGGCUAAAUUUGUCGAAAACUAUCUCGUUUUUGUUAUAAACCGUAUAUUAGCAAUGGCGACGUGCGCCACUUCCGUCGCCGACGCCAUUUGGACGCCAUGUUGCCCGAGAUUUGAGCGCUUGUACGCCUUGGCUUCUAAAUUUCAAGAUGAAUAUUGACGGCAGAAGACGGCGUUGUGCAUAUGGGGGGCACGCACUGAUUUCAAGAGAGCCAGCGCCAUUCCGGAUCUGAAAAUGCUCUGCAUGUCAGCAUUGUCUGCGCCGCUUCGUCUGCGGCCCCCGCCAGCGCCGCUUCGUCUGCGGUCCCCGCCAGCGCCGCUUCGUCUGCGGUGCCGACCAGCGCCGCUUCGUCUGCGGUCCCCGCCAGCGCCGCUUCGUCUGCGGUGCCGACCAGCGCCCUUCUGCAUGGUACCUCGCCUGAUGUAGCCACGCAGGGCGGAGAGUGGAGGUGAGCUAUUACUGAUUAGUUUUGUCCAGGUAAAUUCAGAAAUAUCAUGUUCAUGCCACAUCAUCAGAGUCGCCUCACCAAUCAACAUAAUAUUUUCAGGGAUGAGGGUCCAGGGGACCCAUUUGUAUUUGUUCUCACUUCUCACCUUGUUUCUUUGUUGAAUCUGUAUCCCUUAGUCUCUUUACAAACCAAACUAUGUACUUUUUCAUGGAUAGAAUUGCUAUAUGCCAUGGGAUGUACAAAAAUGCAACUUUGUGCCUAGCUCUAGGCUAAUAAGAAGUGUAUUUCAUUAAAAUAUCAUGUUUUGUUUGUAUGUUGAAUGGUUUGCAUAUGAAGAUAAUUUCCAGCGGCUGCUAAUAUGUUAUGCAGCCCUCUCCUUUAAGUGACCAUCCCACCUUAGCAUUAGUUUUCAGUUGAGAUAGCAAGAUUGGGGUCCCUGGCGUGCAAUUACCGGUUUGGGUACUCACAACAUCGAAAAAUGCUUCAAAUCGAAAAUAUUUGAUCUCAAAGUUGCAGCACUUGGAUUCAGAAGGGCUAAUGUUUUUGAAUGUCCCCCUCUGAAUGUGUGACGUCAGCGCAGAUCUGACGAUUUUAAAAUAUUUUACUAAAACGUUUGGUAACACCUGGUGAUAUAUGCUGCAUUGCGCGCAACAUCUGCCGCACUUUAAGCAUGCCAAAUUAGGUAUUGCUUCCAAAUGACGUCGUAGGAACAGCGGAGGUCCCAAAAAGUAAAAAGUAAUACAGCAGCUGGUCACAGCUGGACCAGUGGCGUGUGUUACAUACACGCGCUUAGACAAUGUGUACACCCUUCCUAAAUCUGGUUGGUUUCUUUUCAGGGGAUUGUGUUUAUCUAUUGGUCAUCAUGCAUCAGCAGUGUGCGUCCAUCUUGUGCUCCACUGACCUAGGCGCAGUUCCAUGCUGUUCAUUGCCAUGCAGUCCCAUGUUCAAUCCACUCCUGUUCGUCUCCUCAGUCACCCGGAGACCUUGGCCUACUCCUGGUCCUCUACGCCCGCCAGCGCCUCUUCGUCUGCGGCCCCCGCCAGCGCCGCUUCGUCUGCGGUCCCCGCCAGCGCCGCUUUGUCUGCGGUGCCGACCAGCGCCCUUCUGCAUGGCACCUCGCCUGAUGCAGCCACGCAGGGCGGAGAGUGGAGGUGAGCUAUUACUGAUUAGUUUUGUCCAGGUAAAUUUAGAGUAAUCAUACACUCACUUUCUGUCUUUUUGUUAUUUUUGUCAUUGUGUGUCAGACAACUUCACCGAUAACACUGAUACAAUUAUUUUUAGGGAACCUGCUUCUUGUGUUCUCAACUUGUUUCUUUGUUGAAUCAUUUCUCCAUCAUUAUCU
Molecule: RNA transcript, 2031 nt
Organism: Amphibalanus amphitrite
Lineage: Eukaryota; Metazoa; Arthropoda; Thecostraca; Balanomorpha; Balanidae
Gene name: spore coat protein SP96-like
Exons: 3
Source: RefSeq, a predicted model, not a curated record